This 251-nucleotide microRNA precursor is filed under the name Pinus taeda (loblolly pine). RNAcentral's name for it is "miR948 stem-loop (pta-MIR948)". Its record names the gene pta-MIR948. The record is from miRBase by way of RNAcentral. Lineage: Eukaryota; Viridiplantae; Streptophyta; Pinopsida; Pinales; Pinaceae.
AAGUCAUGAAAUCAGGCUGUGUGGGAUCCGGUAACGCCACAGAGUAAGAUAGCAGCGUCAAAGUGACUGUAGGCAUUGGUGGAUAAAGUGAAGCGGUAUUGAUGAGGCCUCACAUUGUCCACCGAUGCCUACAGCCACUUUGACGUUCUCAUCUGAUUUUAUGACGGCCUCACUUCCUCCGCCAAUGCCUGAGGCGGUGUCAUCUGUUUUUGCGGCAUUACCGGAUCCUACAAACCCUGUUUUCAUGGGUU